This 1018-nucleotide long non-coding RNA is filed under the name Heterocephalus glaber (naked mole-rat). Its description in RNAcentral is "lncRNA (ENSHGLG00000040224.1)". Lineage: Eukaryota; Metazoa; Chordata; Mammalia; Rodentia; Bathyergidae. The record is from RNAcentral.
CUUUGUUCUCUUGGCCCAUUCUCCUGGGUUCCGGGGCCCUUCUCGGGGUCCUUCUCGGGGUCCAGGGCACCAAGAGGAGGGGCUGUGAGCUCCGCCCCUGGGGAAGGCCAUGUCUUGAUGCUGCCCAAGAAGCCACAUCUUGUGCACAUCUGGUGCAGGGGAUCCUUGCACCAGGCUGGGCAUGAGCCAAGGUUCUCUUCCACGAGCGGAUCCUUUUCCAAGUGGGAACGCCUGGAGAGCCAGGGACUUGAAUCUUUUGGGGGUCUGGCCAAGUUGCCCGGAUUGAGCUGGAACUUGCUGCAGGAAAAAUAGGCCACAGAGAAUGGUAUCUUACUGAUGUGCAGAUAUCAGAGGAGUCAGAACACACUGAAGACAGCCCAGCUCUGGGCGACAGCCUAUCCCAGAGAGGUUGUCCCUCAACCCAGCCACUAGUACCACCCUCCCCACGAGGCACCCUGGUCACUGGCUGAGGGAGGGUCUGUGGCAGCUCCGGCCCGCGCUCAAUACCCUGUAGCAGUAACAAAUGUGUGGCUAUGAAUGCGGAUGGCAGUCUCAGGGUACCUGUGUUCCUGCAUGUUUAUGGACGCAUCCAGGACCAAAAAAAAAAAUCAACUUUUUUUUUUCCAAACAAUAACAACAAAAUGAAUGAUUACGAUAGGAAAGGGAAAAAUUAAAUAGCUAGAUAUCGUUAACAAAUUAAUUGUUCUGCAAAAGUAUGUUUUAAAGUUAUCAUCACUAUCUAGCCCAGGCUUCAAACUCAGGAUCCUCCUGGCUCAGCCUCCCAAGUGCUGGCAUUACAGAUGUGUGCAUCAUGCCUGGCUUUAAUUUAUUUUGAAAUGUCAAAUGACAUUAAAGGAAGCUGAAACGCAAACCACCACCCUGUACUGAUUGUUUUAGUGUCUAUAGCUCCAACAAGAAUAUAGUGCUUGGGUCUCACCUCCUGUCCGGUUCUCAGCCUCAAACAACAAUAACCCCUUACUGCCUCUGAAUCCAUUCACACCCACCCCAGCACAGUGCC